This 484-nucleotide ribosomal RNA is filed under the name uncultured bacterium. Its description in RNAcentral is "partial 16S ribosomal RNA". It matches the Rfam family "Bacterial small subunit ribosomal RNA", at positions 30 to 507 of the family's 1533-position model. The record is from RNAcentral.
AUUGAACGCUGGCGGCAGGCCUAACACAUGCAAGUCGAGCGGAUGAAGGGAGCUUGCUCCUGGAUUCAGCGGCGGACGGGUGAGUAAUGCCUAGGAAUCUGCCUGGUAGUGGGGGAUAACGUCCGGAAACGGGCGCUAAUACUGCAUACGUCCUGAGGGAGAAAGUGGGGGAUCUUCGGACCUCACGCUAUCAGAUGAGCCUAGGUCGGAUUAGCUAGUUGGUGGGGUAAAGGCCUACCAAGGCGACGAUCCGUAACUGGUCUGAGAGGAUGAUCAGUCACACUGGAACUGAGACACGGUCCAGACUCCUACGGGAGGCAGCAGUGGGGAAUAUUGGACAAUGGGCGAAAGCCUGAUCCAGCCAUGCCGCGUGUGUGAAGAAGGUCUUCGGAUUGUAAAGCACUUUAAGUUGGGAGGAAGGGCAGUAAGUUAAUACCUUGCUGUCUUGACGUUACCAACAGAAUAAGCACCGGCUAACUUCGUG